Molecule: ribosomal RNA, 452 nt
Filed under: uncultured bacterium
Lineage: Bacteria
Description: bacterial SSU rRNA
Rfam family: Bacterial small subunit ribosomal RNA
Source: RNAcentral
AGCGAACGCUGGCGGCAGGCUUAACACAUGCAAGUCGAACGGGCGUAGCAAUACGUCAGUGGCAGACGGGUGAGUAACGCGUGGGAACGUACCUUUGGUUCGGAACAACCCAGGGAAACUUGGGCGUAAUACCGGAUAAGCCCUUACGGGGAAAGGAUUUAUCGCCGAAAGAUCGGCCCGCGUCUGAUUAGCUAGUUGGUGUGGUAACGGCGCACCAAGGCGACGAUCAGUAGCUGGUCUGAGAGGAUGAUCAGCCACAUUGGGACUGAGACACGGCCCAAACUCCUACGGGAGGCAGCAGUGGGGAAUAUUGGACAAUGGGCGGCAAGCCUGAUCCAGCCAUGCCGCGUGAGUGAUGAAGGCCCUAGGGUUGUAAAGCUCUUUGUGCGGGAAGAUAUGACGGUACCGCAAGAAUAAGCCCCGGCUAACUUCGUGCCAGCAGCCGCCGUAAG